RNAcentral lists this long non-coding RNA (1571 nucleotides) under Mus musculus (house mouse). RNAcentral describes it as "long non-coding RNA chrX:8150280-8151851". The record is from RNAcentral. Lineage: Eukaryota; Metazoa; Chordata; Mammalia; Rodentia; Muridae.
UUGAACUGAGGCCCUCUGGAAGAGCAGCCAGUGUUUUAAACCACUGAGUUAUCUCUCUAGCUAACUACUAUUAUAUCAGGACUUAGUCCUAAUAUUUCAUUUUAAUUUCCAUUUUCUGUACUUAUAUAACUCAGUUGGUAGAAUGUCUGUAUAUCAUGUAUAAAAUCCUGCAUCUAGUCCCUAGCACUGCAAAUUCUGGUGGUGGUCCAGACCUGUGAUCCUAGCAGCUUGCUUGCCAGCUACAGGAGGUAAAGGCGCACACAUACACACGAGGACACACACACUGUAAUUUCUGUCUUGUCAUUUGUAUCUUGGUCAUGAUCUCAUCUACAUGCUUAAGUCUCAUGUUGUGAGGAACCCCACCAAAAGGCUCUUGCCAGUAUAGCCCUAUGAAUGGGCCCUAAUGGAAGUGAAGCUGACAACUCAACUGAAACCUCAGGAACAAUCCUGGGACAAUGCCACCCAACUAAGCUACUUCCAGAUUCCCAACCCUUGGAAACUGCAGGACAGAUAAAUCCUUGUUGUUUUGAGCUGCUAAGUAUGAAAGUAACUUGUUAUACUGUCAUAUAUAGCUGAUACUUCCGGUCUACUUUUCCCUGCCACUAGUUUCACUAACUAUGUAUAUUCUAGUCAUGAGUUCAAAGGACUGAAGUUACCUGCUACGUUAGCCGGCAAAAUGCAUUGAGGAAUGCUGGCGAUCAAGCUCCCACCUGUUCACUUACCUGCACUUUGAGAAGUGUGAGGAAUGAGCCAAACUGUGUGGCCCCUAGCACUAUAGAGGUAGUCAUUACUCACGCCUGCUCUCAUAGGUCUGCAAGUGUUCUAGUAGGAAGUCAUCAAAGCCUUAGGGGAAGAGCUCUUUAAAGACAGUCCCCUCAGAGUACCCAGCUGUCUUGGGAUCUGGAGGACUGACAGCCCCUGGCUGCCCACGUCUUCUAGGAUAGUUGUUCUUUCACACUAGCUGUCUGGACACCUGGAUUUGGUGAGUUCUUCAGUCCCAGAGUGGGGAAAGACUCUUCCCAAGGUGUGCUGGAGAAAGAGGAAGGGCCGUACUAUACUAACUUGCAUUUCCAUUUCCCUAGCCUAGACUGUAUUUGCUGCUUCCAGCCAUCUGUCUUUCAAAACAUAACAGCUCUAGAUCGCCUUCUGUGGCCCAGUGGUUAAAUAGCCACCCAGGCCACUUUUGCUAAGAACCUAGGUUCCAUUCCCAGCACCUACAUGGCAGGUUGCAGUUGUUUCUAAGUCUAAUUCUAGGGAAUACAACAUACAUGCACACAAAACACCAAUGCACUAAAAGCAAAUAAAAACCUUUUAAAAUGAAUAAAAGAGAAAAAAGACAUUAAAAAACAAAGACUACUUUCUAUGCCCUCAUGGGUCUCAGAGCUGUGCUGCAAUUUCUGGAACCUAUGUUUUCUUUUAAAAUUUUAUAUAAAUAGAUAGAUAGGUAGGUUGGUUGGUUUGUCUGUAUAGCUGUGGAUGUCUUGGAACUUGCUAAGUAUGUAGACCAAGCUGGCCUCCAACUCAAGAGAUCUGCCUACCUCUGCGUGCUGAGAUUAAAGACACAUGCCACC